GGCGUCCUGAAUUGGGAAGGCUUCUUAGAGGGCAUUCAUUCAGCCACAGUGACUUUGCACUCCCCGUCCCAAGGCCCUCUGCUUGGCAGUGUUCCACACGUCUCCUUUGAGGCUGAGCUCACCACGUCCAUUUGAUUGUCCAUCACUCAUUCAUUCAGCAGGUGUCACUCAGGAGCUACUGUGUGCCAGUCACCGUUCUAAGCAUGGCGGGGGGCAGAGUGGCAACUAAGACAGUCCCUUCUCCCACGGAGCUGACAUCUCUAGAGGUAGUCUCUCUCUAGUUAGAAAGUUCUGAUUUCUGGAAUGUUCUUUCCUAUGACAAGCAAUCAGCCUCCCUGGAUCUUCCCCUGCAGUCCUGAUUGGGUUCCUGGAGUGGCCAAAGGCCACCUUCUCUCUUCUGAUUGAACAGCAUCACCCCUUCCUCUCUUGUCCUGGUCCUGUGGCCUGACUCUGAGACCCAGGCAACCCCCCACUCCCCCAUUGUUGCUCUAUUGCACAAUCCCGGCCAGUCCCUUCCUCUUGGCCCAGGUCCUCCUGGGGAGGAUGUGCAUGGCUCUUCAGAGGGGUCCUCACUCGGCAAAAGCAACCCCCUGUGGAUGCCACAGGUCCCGCAGGUCAACACACGGCUUUCAGAGAUGGAUCCUCCUGAACCAGAGUUUGAACUCACCAGAAAGCUGCCUUCCUGGCCAGGCUUGCCAGAGCUUUCCACAUUCAAGUCCAAAGGGUGAUGCUGCAUUUACUUGGGACCUGGCUGCCAGCCUUGCACCCAGAGCACAGGAUGCUGGAACCACACACCCUCCUCCAGGAGCCCCAAUCCCGGGAGGGAGACAGAGCCGGAGCGGAUGUUAAGCAGUGCGCCCACGUCCUGCUCCGCUCCCCUGUGACCUUCUCACCUGGGCAGCUGCCUGCAGUGUAACCCGCGCAGAUGGCUUUCCUCUGGAUUAUGAGCCUGUUGCUGGGAUUCUGCACAACAGAGGAGGACCGCUUCCUUCUGAUGCUCGACUCCACCUGUGUCUGCGGCUGCCGUCCUGGGAACGACUGUGCCACCAGGCCUCGCUGUCACGUCCCCCUGUCCUGCGUCCAGGGUUCCCACCUGCAGCUGGCUGGCAGCCGUGUGCUGAGCUGUGUGGCGAUCUGUGACAGAGCAGGGGAAGUGCCUUCCCCCUUCCGGGACACCGUGGAACGGAGGCCCCGAGCAGAGUUGCUUUGCGCUAAUGUGUCGCACAGUGCAGUGGCAGCUUCUAUUUCUUGUUUCUCUUGGAGCCAUCUGUCUGUUUCUGACCCAGAUAAGUGUUCAGGAGGCUGGGCCGUGGGAGGUGUAGAGAGGCAGCUACAGUGCUGGGCUCGGAAUGCCUUCCUCCAACCACAGGCCAGGCUUUAGCUGCUCUUCUUAGGGUGAGCUCUUUUCUGGGAGCUCCUCAGCUUCCCAGAAGGUAGUCGUCUCCCCUGGGCCACCCCAGCAGCUUGUCAGACUGGCUGGCUUCACGUUCGGCUUGGCUUCUCUCUCAGGAAUAGCCCCUGCCUCUUGGAAAACAGGCUUGAUUCAGACGCUCCCAUCAGUCCGCCACACACGCACUCCUGGGCCAUCAGAGACCCUUGCGGCUGCAGCCCAGGCCCGAUGAGCUUUCCGCUUCACAGGGUAAGAGAAAAGGUCACUUUGGGGACACUCAGCACAAGUUUCAUAUUUCUCCAAAAUUUGGGCCCCCCCUUUCAGCUCCAUUCUCCCGCCCACAGUCAAGCCCGAAUGCAUAAAGCAGCCACGUAUCCAGAACUCCUGCGGCCUCGUGUGCUUAUUGGCAGCACCUGAAUCCCAGAAUAGACAUUUCCCUAUUAAGGAACAGAAACGAUGGAAGGAGAACAAAGCCACCCUUUAUCGGAGCAGAUUGCUUUACCUGAAACAGCCCUCUAACAGACGUGCUCCUGAAGUACCUCUUGAUGAAAUCUGUGAACAUUUGUAGUAUUUUACAUUGCGCUUAAUAAUUUAUUAGUGUUUAAUAUUUCACAGGAGUAAAGCAGAAAACCUGAUAAAAUUUUCAUAUCUGCUAUUAUAAGCUAAGUAGGAUGCGAGCCGCGGCUGGGCGGUACCCAGAGCCCGGAGCCUGGGGUCCGCUCCGUGCGCCCCGAGUGCCCAGGUCACCACAGUAGCCUCUCUGCCCGUUCCCCCAGGGGUCCUGUUACCCUAGACGUCCUGUGCACUUGGGAGAGCCAGAUGCUUGUGGGCGUCGUCAGUUUGGCUGAACAGCCAGACUCGUUCAUGGUGUGGUUUGACUAGAGCCAAAUGUCUCUCCCAGCCCCUAAAUUUUCCUCACUGGUCUAUUUUUCAUGCCAUUACGGAUUCCUUUCCUUGUGAGAGAACCAACACCUAUGGGAAGCUGAGCUUAUAAUUAGUAACAGCAAAUCCAAUUCACGGUUCUAAGCGUUUCAUAGGAACAAUUCGUUAAUUUCUCACCACCCUCCUAUGAGAUAGAAGCUCUUAAUAUUCUCAUUUUACAGAUGAGAAAAUCGAGGCACGGCGAGGGGGUGAUUCACUCAGGGUCGUGCAGGAGUCAGGAGCUGGAAUUUGGGUCCAGGCGGGCUCGCUCCAGAGUCUGUAUUCUUAACUAUUACACUAUAUGUUUUCUCUAAAAACAAACCAAUCAAUAAACAAUUUGUUGCAUCCUUAUCUGGCUCAGGGCUCUGGGCCACACGCGCUCCAGGGGAUAACACAGUGAGACUUCCUGUCCGCGUCUACACGCCCGCCCUCUGAAGCCAGCAGGCACUCUGCUGCUCCACUUGUCUGCUGAGUGACCCCAGGCGAGUAACCCAAUCAUUCUGAUCGUCAAAAAUACCUGCCUCACAGGUUUGCUGUGAACGUGAAAGGAAACAAAUUUGAAGAAAAGUAUCCUAGACCACGUUGGCUGGUGGGCGAAAUCUGCUCUGCUGGGUUUUUUUAAACAGCUUUAUUGAGAUUUACUCAAAGUGCUUAAAAAACCACUUUAAGUGUUUUUCAGUAUAUUCACAGAUAUGUGCAACCAUCAUGACAAUCAAUUUUAGAGCAUUUUCAUCAUAUCAAAAAGAAACCAGCACCCUUGAGCUAUUUCUGUUCCCUGAACGUCUCCCCAUUUCCCCCUCUCUCCCCAAGCGACCACUAUUCUACUUCCUGUCUUGAUAGAUUUCUCUGUUCUGGAUGUUUCAUUCAUAUGAAUGGAAUCAUAUAGUACAUGGUCCUUUGUGUCUGACUUCUUUCACUUACCAUAAUGUUUUCCAGGUUUAUCCAUGCCACAGCGUGUAUCAAACCUCAUUCCUUUUUAUGGCUGAAUAGUAUUCCAUUGCAGGAAUAUACCACAUUUUGUUCAUCUGUUCCUCAGUUGAUGGACAUUUGGGUUGUUUCCACCUUCUGUUUGUGAUGAUGCGGA
RNAcentral lists this long non-coding RNA (3395 nucleotides) under Equus caballus (horse). RNAcentral describes it as "lncRNA (ENSECAG00000045110.1)". The record is from RNAcentral. Lineage: Eukaryota; Metazoa; Chordata; Mammalia; Perissodactyla; Equidae.